AAGCACUUUAUUUGAUUUCCUUCGGGACUGAUUAUUUUGUGACUGAGUGGCGGACGGGUGAGUAACGCGUGGGUAACCUGCCUUGUACAGGGGGAUAACAGUUGGAAACGGCUGCUAAUACCGCAUAAGACCACGGAGCCGCAUGGCUCCGUGGGAAAAACUCCGGUGGUAUAAGAUGGACCCGCGUUGGAUUAGCUAGUUGGUGAGGUAACGGCCCACCAAGGCGACGAUCCAUAGCCGACCUGAGAGGGUGACCGGCCACAUUGGGACUGAGAUACGGCCCAGACUCC
RNAcentral lists this ribosomal RNA (290 nucleotides) under uncultured Eubacteriales bacterium. RNAcentral's name for it is "uncultured Clostridiales bacterium partial 16S ribosomal RNA". The stretch from base 52 to 290 matches the Rfam family "Bacterial small subunit ribosomal RNA", at positions 100 to 339 of the family's 1533-position model. Lineage: Bacteria; Bacillati; Bacillota; Clostridia; Eubacteriales. The record is from RNAcentral.